This 73-nucleotide transfer RNA is filed under the name Pteropus alecto (black flying fox). It matches the Rfam family "tRNA". From Rfam's summary of the family: Transfer RNA (tRNA) molecules are approximately 80 nucleotides in length. Their secondary structure includes four short double-helical elements and three loops (D, anti-codon, and T loops). Further hydrogen bonds mediate the characteristic L-shaped molecular structure. tRNAs have two regions of fundamental functional importance: the anti-codon, which is responsible for specific mRNA codon recognition, and the 3' end, to which the tRNAs corresponding amino acid is attached (by aminoacyl-tRNA synthetases). tRNAs cope with the degeneracy of the genetic code in two manners: having more than one tRNA (with a specific anti-codon) for a particular amino acid; and 'wobble' base-pairing, i.e. permitting non-standard base-pairing at the 3rd anti-codon position. The record is from Rfam by way of RNAcentral. Lineage: Eukaryota; Metazoa; Chordata; Mammalia; Chiroptera; Pteropodidae.
GGCUCCAUAGUGUAGCGGUUAGCACAUCUGCUUUACACACAGAAAGUCCUAGGUUCACUCCUCAGUGGAGCCA